UCAUUUCACAUAUGAUAAACGUCAUGAUGACGAAUUCCGAGCCCUUUAACAAUCACAUAGGCAUAUAAUUAAACCGCGUCUAUAAUACAUAUAGAACAUAGGGGAGCUUCACUUGCUCUGGUUAGGUCAAACCCACCUAGUAUUAUGCUCCCAAUAAUCACACGAAGUCGACCCCAACCCUGCUGAACACAAACAUUAACACCGCGUCAAAAUAACGACCGAAAUAUCCGAUUUCGGCCUAGAUUACACUUAGUACAAAGAAAUCCCUUAAAUCCCUGUUUU
This 282-nucleotide long non-coding RNA is filed under the name Ananas comosus (pineapple). RNAcentral's name for it is "long non-coding RNA (ACOM_LNC037885)". Lineage: Eukaryota; Viridiplantae; Streptophyta; Magnoliopsida; Poales; Bromeliaceae. The record is from RNAcentral.